AAAUCAUGAUUUGGAAUUUUCUACAAAUACUCAUUAAAUCUCUCCCAAACUUCAUAUAAUUGUUCCCCUGGUCACCGCUUGAAUUCAUAGAUCUUGUCACAAAUCU
This is a small nucleolar RNA of Lycium barbarum (goji berry), 106 nucleotides long. NCBI's taxonomy places the organism in Eukaryota, Viridiplantae, Streptophyta, Magnoliopsida, Solanales, Solanaceae. The record is from RefSeq and is a predicted model, not a curated record.